RNAcentral lists this long non-coding RNA (267 nucleotides) under Mustela putorius furo (domestic ferret). Its description in RNAcentral is "lncRNA (ENSMPUG00000025591.1)". Lineage: Eukaryota; Metazoa; Chordata; Mammalia; Carnivora; Mustelidae. The record is from RNAcentral.
CCAACAUCUAUAGUUAUGGCAGACACCACCAGAUGGCUAACACAACAGAGAGAGAGAGAGAGAGAGAGAGCACGAGCAGGGGAAUGGAUAGGCAGAGGGAGAAGCAGACUCCACUGAGCAGGGAGCCCAACACGGGCAGGGACCCCAGGACCCCAGGACCAUGACGAGAGCUGAAAGCAGAAGCUUACCCGCCUGAGCCACACAGAUGCCCCAGAACCUAAGUCAUUUUUAAAUAAUCUAUGGAAGACUGUGGAAGAUGUCAUCAAG